RNAcentral lists this long non-coding RNA (545 nucleotides) under Salmo salar (Atlantic salmon). Its description in RNAcentral is "lncRNA (ENSSSAG00000101871.1)". The record is from RNAcentral. Lineage: Eukaryota; Metazoa; Chordata; Actinopteri; Salmoniformes; Salmonidae.
GUCUCCUCUACUAGAAGACUAACAGUUAAACUACAGUGUUCAUUCAGGAGGAGGAGGAGGAGGAGGUGGAGGAGGUGCUGCCUGAGCUGCUGUCUCCUCUACUAGACGACUAACAGUUAAACUACAGUGUUGAUUCAGGAGGAGGAGGAGGUGGAGGAGGAGGAGGAGGAGGUGCUGCCUGAGCUGCUGUCUCCUCUACUAGACGACUAACAGUUAAACUACAGUGUUGAUUCAGGAGGAGGAGGAGGAGGUGCCUGAGCGGCUGUCUCCUCUACUAGACGACUAACAGUUAAACUAGUGUUGAUUCAGGAGGAGGAGGAGGUGCUGUCCCCUCUACUAGACGACUAACAGUUAAACUACAGUGUUGAUUCAGGAGGAGGAGGAGGAGGAGGAGGUGCCUGAGCGGCUGUCUCCUCUACUAGACGACUAACAGUUAAACUAGUGUUGAUUCAGGAGGAGGAGGAGGAGGUGCUGCCUGAGCUGCUGUCUCCUCUACUAGACGACUAACAGUUAAACUACAGUGUUGAUUCAGGAGGAGGAGGAGG